ACCAAGGCUCUUUUCAGAGCCACCCACACAUUCACAACGAGAGCUG
This is a regulatory RNA element of Callipepla squamata (scaled quail), 46 nucleotides long. It matches the Rfam family "Histone 3' UTR stem-loop". From Rfam's summary of the family: The mRNAs of metazoan histone genes lack a poly-A tail. 3' end processing occurs at a site between a highly conserved stem-loop (modelled by this family) and a purine rich region around 20 nts downstream (the histone downstream element, or HDE). The stem-loop is bound by a 31 kDa stem-loop binding protein (SLBP - also termed the histone hairpin binding protein, or HBP). NCBI's taxonomy places the organism in Eukaryota, Metazoa, Chordata, Aves, Galliformes, Odontophoridae. The record is from Rfam.